Molecule: RNase P RNA, 436 nt
Filed under: Merismopedia sp. SIO2A8
Lineage: Bacteria; Bacillati; Cyanobacteriota; Cyanophyceae; Synechococcales; Merismopediaceae
Description: RNase P RNA component class A
Rfam family: Bacterial RNase P class A
About the family: Ribonuclease P (RNase P) is a ubiquitous endoribonuclease, found in archaea, bacteria and eukarya as well as chloroplasts and mitochondria. Its best characterised activity is the generation of mature 5'-ends of tRNAs by cleaving the 5'-leader elements of precursor-tRNAs. Cellular RNase Ps are ribonucleoproteins.
Source: RNAcentral
AGAGUAGGGGUAGGCGAUUGCAGGCUUCGUGCUUGAGGAAAGUCCGGGCUUCCGAAAGAUCAGACUUGCUGGGUAACGCCCAGUGCGGGCGAUCGUGAGGAUAGUGCCACAGAAAAAUACCGCCUGUGCAAUUUUAGAUAGAUGAUUUUAGAUUUGGGCCAGUUCUUGGUUCUACGCUCUAACAUCCAACAUCCAAAAUUGUUACCGGUAAGGGUGCAAAGGUGCGGUAAGAGCGCACCAGCAACAUCGAGAGGUGUUGGCUCGGUAAACCCCGGUUGGAAGCAAGGUCGAGGGGCAAAGGUUGAUCUUUUUCCCGCCCCGUUGAUGUGUACCGCAAGAGGUGGUUGGUAACAAUCAUCCCAGAUAGAUAAUCGCCCUUCUAUUGUUUGUCAGGAACCGUAGGAGAACAGAACCCGGCUUAUGACCUACUCUUCCU